This 467-nucleotide ribosomal RNA is filed under the name uncultured bacterium. RNAcentral describes it as "partial 16S ribosomal RNA". It matches the Rfam family "Bacterial small subunit ribosomal RNA", at positions 28 to 507 of the family's 1533-position model. The record is from RNAcentral.
GACGAACGCUGGCGGCGUGCCUAACACAUGCAAGUCGAACGGAAAGGCCUCUUUCGGGGGGUACUCGAGUGGCGAACGGGUGAGUAACACGUGAGUAACCUGCCCUUGACUUUGGGAUAACUUCAGGAAACUGGGGCUAAUACCGGAUAGGAGCUCCUGCUGCAUGGUGGGGGUUGGAAAGUUUCGGCGGUUGGGGGUGGACUCGCGGCUUAUCAGCUUGUUGGUGGGGUAGUGGCUUACCAAGGCUUUGACGGGUAGCCGGCCUGAGAGGGUGACCGGCCACAUUGGGACUGAGAUACGGCCCAGACGCCUACGGGAGGCAGCAGUGGGGAAUAUUGCACAAUGGGUGGAAGCCUGAUGCAGCAACGCCGUGUGCGGGAUGACGGCCUUCGGGUUGUAAACCGCUUUCGCUCAUGACGAAGCUUUGUGUGACGGUAGUGGGUAAAGAAGCACCGGCUAACUACGUG